GGGGCUGUAGCUCAAUUGGUUAGAGCACCUCAUUUGCAAUGAGGAGGUUGGGAGUUCGAGUCUCCCCAGCUCCA
This 74-nucleotide transfer RNA is filed under the name Candidatus Dojkabacteria bacterium. Its description in RNAcentral is "tRNA-Ala". It matches the Rfam family "tRNA". From Rfam's summary of the family: Transfer RNA (tRNA) molecules are approximately 80 nucleotides in length. The record is from RNAcentral.